Molecule: ribosomal RNA, 384 nt
Filed under: Melanogrammus aeglefinus (haddock)
Lineage: Eukaryota; Metazoa; Chordata; Actinopteri; Gadiformes; Gadidae
Description: eukaryotic LSU rRNA
Rfam family: Eukaryotic large subunit ribosomal RNA
Source: RNAcentral
AGAUAGUGAUCCGACCUCAGAUCAGACGAGACGACCCGCUGAACUUAAGCAUAUCAGUAAGCGGAGGAAAAGAAACUAACCAGGAUUCCCCUAGUAGCGGCGAGCGAAGAGGGAAAAGCCCAGCGCCGAAUCCCCGCCGCCCAGUCGGGCGCGGGACAUGUGGCGUACGGAAGAUUGUUUUCCCGGUGUCGGCGUGGGGGCCUGAGUCCUUCUGAUUGAGGCUCAACCCGUGGACGGUGUGAGGCCGGUAGCGGCCCCCGUCCGGCCGGGCGCAGUCUUCCCGGAGUCGGGUUGCUUGGGAAUGCAGCCCAAAGUGGGUGGUAAACUCCAUCUAAGGCUAAAUACUGGCACGAGACCGAUAGUCGACAAGUACCGUAAGGGAAA